GAUGAAGAACGUAGCGAAAUGCGAUAAGUAAUGUGAAUUGCAGAAUUCAGUGAAUCAUCGAAUCUUUGAACGCACAUUGCGCCCGCCAGUAUUCUGGUGGGCAUGCCUGUUCGAGCGUCAUUUCAACCAUCAAGCCCCAGGCUUGUGUUGGGGACCUGCGGCUGCCGCAGGCCCUGAAAACCAGUGGCGGGCUCGCUGUCACACCGGGCGUAGUAGAUUUUAUCUCGCUCAGGGCGUGCUGCGGGUCCCGGCCGUUAAAAGCCUUUUUUUACCCAAGGUUGACCUCGGAUCAGGUAGGAAGACCCGCUGAACUUAAGCAUAUCAAUAAGCGGAGGA
RNAcentral lists this unclassified non-coding RNA (336 nucleotides) under soil metagenome. Its description in RNAcentral is "partial contains 5.8S ribosomal RNA, internal transcribed spacer 2, and large subunit ribosomal RNA". The stretch from base 1 to 120 matches the Rfam family "5.8S ribosomal RNA", at positions 35 to 154 of the family's 154-position model. The record is from RNAcentral.